UACAGAGGUCCCAAGCGUUGUUCGGAUUCACUGGGCGUAAAGGGUGCGUAGGUGGUUAGGUAAGUCCGAUGUGAAAUCUCCAGGCUCAACCUGGAAAUGGCAUUGGAUACUAUCUAGCUUGAGGAGUGGAGGGGGGACUGGAAUUCUCGGUGUAGCAGUGAAAUGCGUAGAUAUCAGGAGGAACACCGAUGGCGAAGGCAGGUCUCUGGGCUGACACUGACGCUCAUGCACGAAAGCGUGGGGAGCAAACAGG
This 253-nucleotide ribosomal RNA is filed under the name uncultured bacterium. RNAcentral describes it as "partial 16S ribosomal RNA". It matches the Rfam family "Bacterial small subunit ribosomal RNA", at positions 524 to 776 of the family's 1533-position model. The record is from RNAcentral.